RNAcentral lists this ribosomal RNA (497 nucleotides) under uncultured bacterium. Its description in RNAcentral is "partial 16S ribosomal RNA". It matches the Rfam family "Bacterial small subunit ribosomal RNA", at positions 28 to 507 of the family's 1533-position model. The record is from RNAcentral.
GAUGAACGCUGGCGGCGUGCCUAAUACAUGCAAGUCGAGCGAACGGACGAGAAGCUUGCUUCUCUGAUGUUAGCGGCGGACGGGUGAGUAACACGUGGAUAACCUACCUAUAAGACUGGGAUAACUUCGGGAAACCUGAGCUAAUACCGGAUAAUAUUUUGAACCGCAUGGUUCAAAAGUGAAAGACGGUCUUGCUGUCACUUAUAGAUGGAUCCGCGCUGCAUUAGCUAGUUGGUAAGGUAACGGCUUACCAAGGCAACGAUGCAUAGCCGACCUGAGAGGGUGAUCGGCCACACUGGAACUGAGACACGGUCCAGACUCCUACGGGAGGCAGCAGUAGGGAAUCUUACGCAAUGGGCGAAAGCCUGACGGAGCAACGCCGCGUGAGUGAUGAAGGUCUUCGGAUCGUAAAACUCUGUUAUUAGGGAAGAACAGAUGUGUAAGUAAAUGUGCACAUCUUGACGGUACCAAAUCAGAAAGCAACGGCUAACUACGUG